Liolophura sinensis is the source of this 365-nucleotide long non-coding RNA. RefSeq lists it as uncharacterized. The transcript has 4 exons. The record is from RefSeq and is a predicted model, not a curated record. NCBI's taxonomy places the organism in Eukaryota, Metazoa, Mollusca, Polyplacophora, Chitonida, Chitonidae.
CUUCUUCAGACGUAUCCAGACAACGAGUCCCACAUUAAUCCUUCAACAUGCGAUCUCUGAUCCUUUUCACCCUCUUCGCAUGCGUCGUUGCCUUAGCGUUGGCAGAGAGUUCCAGUUGCCCUGAGGACUGGAAUACUGUAUGUUCAAAAGCUCUGGAUGACUUCACUGUAAAUCGCCCACAAAGAUACUGCAAACGAACCCUUGGCGGAUUUGUGUCCAAUGGGCAGUGUAUUACUUCCCCGGUGGACAUUUCUGGUAAUGGAUGCUGUAAGUUCGGCCGUUAAAUUGGACCAUCAAAAACCAGAUAUCGGUUCAAAAUGAUCAACAAAUGUCCUUUCCGACUUUCCUUUUUUCUGCGUCACACC